UAUAUAAGGGAAAGACAUUUCUAUGGGCUAUAGGAAGAACUUGCAUCCCUGAAAUCCGAGGACUAAGCAGAUCCUAAGCUCUUCUUGGUUCCAUCAGAGCUACAUUUCAACCCAGGUACCUUCAUCUCCGGUGGCUGAGGUCGACAUAUUUCUAAUUAAUCAUUUGUCAUCCCAGGAUUAUUUUCCAAGUUUGGAUCAGGAAAUAUAUUUUAAAGUGGU
Ictidomys tridecemlineatus (thirteen-lined ground squirrel) is the source of this 219-nucleotide non-coding RNA. Lineage: Eukaryota; Metazoa; Chordata; Mammalia; Rodentia; Sciuridae. The record is from RefSeq and is a predicted model, not a curated record.